UACGAAGGGGGCUAGCGUUGCUCGGAAUUACUGGGCGUAAAGCGCGUGUAGGCGGUUAUCCAAGUCAGGUGUGAAAGCCUUGAGCUCAACUCAAGAAAUGCACUUGGUACUGGGUGACUAGAGGACCGGAGAGGAUAGUGGAAUUCCCAGUGUAGUGGUGAAAUACGUAGAGAUUGGGAAGAACACCAGUGGCGAAGGCGGCUAUCUGGACGGUUUCUGACGCUAAGACGCGAAAGCGUGGGGAGCAAACAGG
Molecule: ribosomal RNA, 253 nt
Filed under: uncultured bacterium
Lineage: Bacteria
Description: partial 16S ribosomal RNA
Rfam family: Bacterial small subunit ribosomal RNA
Source: RNAcentral